AAGAUGAGGUCUCUCAUAGCGUAGGCUAGUAAGGCCCCUUGUAGACGACAAGGUAGAUAGGCCAGAUGUGGAAGUCCUGUAAGGGAUGCAGCUGACUGGUACUAAUCGGCCGAGGGCUUGACUU
Molecule: ribosomal RNA, 124 nt
Filed under: Propionispora hippei DSM 15287
Lineage: Bacteria; Bacillati; Bacillota; Negativicutes; Selenomonadales; Sporomusaceae
Description: 23S rRNA. Bacterial LSU
Rfam family: Bacterial large subunit ribosomal RNA
Source: RNAcentral